CCUGGAGUGAAGCAUGUUCACGUAAAAAAAAACUACUUGCUAUACUGAGAACUCCUGAGUAUAGCAAGUAUUGAUCUUCACUCUGUUAUUGUGGAAGUCCAUGAAGUGGCACAUAGAACGGCAAUGAUUUAAACCUCACUUGGGAUAAUCUACUUCUGGGACAAGGUACUUUGAUGCUCAUUUAAUUUGAGUCAGCUUCGCAUAUGGAUUCUUCGCGCGAUGAUGCCAUAACGACUCAUUAUAACGAUUUCGAAAUGGUUCGUCAGUUGUGCCUUCGCGGCCUUAUAUUAGAACUUCUUCAAGACUUCCAUAAAGAUGAAGUAAGAGCUUUAGGAAGCGAACUGGGUCUGUCUGAAGAAUUCCUGGAACGUCA
Molecule: long non-coding RNA, 373 nt
Organism: Daphnia carinata
Lineage: Eukaryota; Metazoa; Arthropoda; Branchiopoda; Diplostraca; Daphniidae
Exons: 3
Source: RefSeq, a predicted model, not a curated record